ACUCCUACGGGAGGCAGCAGUAGGGAAUCUUCGGCAAUGGGGGCAACCCUGACCGAGCAACGCCGCGUGAGUGAAGAAGGUUUUCGGAUCGUAAAACUCUGUUGUUAGAGAAGAACGUUAAGUAGAGUGGAAAAUUACUUAAGUGACGGUAUCUAACCAGAAAGGGACGGCUAACCACGUGCCAGCAGCCGCGGUAAUACGUAGGUCCCAAGCGUUGUCCGGAUUUAUAGGGCGUAAAGCGAGCGCAGGUGGUUUCUUAAGUCUGAUGUAAAAGGCAGUGGCUCAACCAUUGUGUGCAUUGGAAACUGGGAGACUUGAGUGCAGGAGAGGAGAGUGGAAUUCCAUGUGUAGCGGUGAAAUGCGUAGAUAUAUGGAGGAACACCGGAGGCGAAAGCGGCUCUCUGGCCUGUAACUGACACUGAGGCUCGAAAGCGUGGGGAGCAAACAGGAUUAGAUA
RNAcentral lists this ribosomal RNA (457 nucleotides) under uncultured bacterium. RNAcentral describes it as "bacterial SSU rRNA". It matches the Rfam family "Bacterial small subunit ribosomal RNA", at positions 335 to 784 of the family's 1533-position model. The record is from RNAcentral.